AGUCCACGCCGUAAACGAUGUCGACUUGGAGGUUGUGCCCUUGAGGCGUGGCUUCCGGAGCUAACGCGUUAAGUCGACCGCCUGGGGAGUACGGCCGCAAGGUUAAAACUCAAAUGAAUUGACGGGGGCCCGCACAAGCGGUGGAGCAUGUGGUUUAAUUCGAUGCAACGCGAAGAACCUUACCUGGUCUUGACAUCCACAGAACUUUCCAGAGAUGGAUUGGUGCCUUCGGGAACUGUGAGACAGGUGCUGCAUGGCUGUCGUCAGCUCGUGUUGUGAAAUGUUGGGUUAAGUCCCGCAACGAGCGCAACCCUUAUCCUUUGUUGCCAGCGGUCCGGCCGGGAACUCAAAGGAGACUGCCAGUGAUAAACUGGAGGAAGGUGGGGAUGACGUCAAGUCAUCAUGGCCCUUACGACCAGGGCUACACACGUGCUACAAUGGCGCAUACAAAGAGAAGCGACCUCGCGAGAGCAAGCGGACCUCAUAAAGUGCGUCGUAGUCCGGAUUGGAGUCUGCAACUCGACUCCAUGAAGUCGGAAUCGCUAGUAAUUCGAGAUCAGCAUGCUCGGGUGAAUGCGUUCCCGGGCCUUGUACACACCGCCCGUCACACCAUGGGAGUGGGUUGCAAAAGAAGUAGGUAGCUUAACCUUCGGGAGGGCGCUUACCACUUUGUGAUUCAUGACUGGGGUGAAGUCGUAACAAGGUAACCGUAGGGGAACCUGCGGUUG
Molecule: ribosomal RNA, 728 nt
Filed under: human gut metagenome
Description: bacterial SSU rRNA
Rfam family: Bacterial small subunit ribosomal RNA
Source: RNAcentral